UACGGAGGGGGCUAGCGUUAUUCGGAAUUAUUGGGCGUAAAGGGCGCGUAGGCGGCCAGGUAAGUCAAAGGUGAAAUCCCUCGGCUCAACCGAGGAACUGCCUUUGAAACUACCUGGCUCGAGGCCGGGAGGGGGUAGCGGAAUUCCCAGUGUAGCGGUGAAAUGCGUAGAUAUUGGGAGGAACACCGGUGGCGAAGGCGGCUACCUGGACCGGUUCUGACGCUGAUGCGCGAAAGCGUGGGGAGCAAAC
RNAcentral lists this ribosomal RNA (250 nucleotides) under uncultured bacterium. Its description in RNAcentral is "partial 16S ribosomal RNA". It matches the Rfam family "Bacterial small subunit ribosomal RNA", at positions 524 to 773 of the family's 1533-position model. The record is from RNAcentral.